AUUGAACGCUGGCGGCAUGCCUUACGCAUGCAAGUCGAACGGUAACGCGGGGCAACCUGGCGACGAGUGGCGAACGGGUGAGUAAUGCAUCGGAACGUGCCCAGUAGUGGGGGAUAGCCCGGCGAAAGCCGGAUUAAUACCGCAUACGACCUAUGGGUGAAAGCGGGGGACCGUAAGGCCUCGCGCUAUUGGAGCGGCCGAUGUCAGAUUAGGUUGUUGGUGGGGUAAAAGCCUACCAAGCCGACGAUCUGUAGCUGGUCUGAGAGGACGACCACCCACAGGGGGACGGAGACACGGCCCGGACUCCUACGGGGGGCAGAGGGGGGGAAUUUGGGAAAAGGGGGGCAACCCUGGUCCAGCCAGCCGGCGGGCGGGAAGAAGGCCUUGGGGUUGUAACCCGUUUUUGUCAGGGAAAAAACGCUCUGAUUUAAUACCUCGGGGUAAUGACGGUACCUGAAGAAUAAGCACCGGCUAACUACGUGCCACCCGCCGGGGUAA
Molecule: ribosomal RNA, 498 nt
Filed under: uncultured bacterium
Lineage: Bacteria
Description: partial 16S ribosomal RNA
Rfam family: Bacterial small subunit ribosomal RNA
Source: RNAcentral